UGGGGAAUAUUGCACAAUGGAGGGAACUCUGAUGCAGCGACGCCGCGUGAGUGAUGAAGGAUUUCGUUUCGUAAAACUCUGUUCUAUGGGAAGAAAAGGACUGUACCAUAGGAGAAAGCUCCGGCUAAAUACGUGCCAGCAGCCGCGGUAAUACGUAUGGAGCGAGCGUUGUCCGGAAUUAUUGGGCGUAAAGGGUGCGCAGGCGGCUUUACAAGUUGGAUGUGAAAUAUUGUGGCUCAACCACAAACGUGCAUCCAAAACUGCAAAGCUUGAGUUAAGGAGGGGUAAGUGGAAUUCCUGGUGUAGCGGUGGAAUGCGUAGAUAUCAGGAGGAAUACCGGUGGCGAAGGCGACUUACUGGACUUAAACUGACGCUCAGGCACGAAAGCGUGGGGAGCAAACAGG
This 404-nucleotide ribosomal RNA is filed under the name Fusobacteriota bacterium. Its description in RNAcentral is "Fusobacteria bacterium partial 16S ribosomal RNA". It matches the Rfam family "Bacterial small subunit ribosomal RNA", at positions 355 to 776 of the family's 1533-position model. Lineage: Bacteria; Fusobacteriati; Fusobacteriota. The record is from RNAcentral.